AUUGAACGCUGGCGGCAUGCCUUACACAUGCAAGUCGAACGGCAGCGCGGACUUCGGUCUGGCGGCGAGUGGCGAACGGGUGAGUAAUGCAUCGGAACGUACCUUUCAGUGGGGGAUAACGUAGCGAAAGUUACGCUAAUACCGCAUAUUCUGUGAGCAGGAAAGCAGGGGAUCGCAAGACCUUGCGCUGAUGGAGCGGCCGAUGUCAGAUUAGCUUGUUGGUGGGGUAAAAGCCUACCAAGGCGACGAUCUGUAGCUGGUCUGAGAGGACGACCAGCCACACUGGGACUGAGACACGGCCCAGACUCCUACGGGAGGCAG
Molecule: ribosomal RNA, 321 nt
Filed under: uncultured Pseudomonadota bacterium
Lineage: Bacteria; Pseudomonadati; Pseudomonadota
Description: bacterial SSU rRNA
Rfam family: Bacterial small subunit ribosomal RNA
Source: RNAcentral